This 84-nucleotide transfer RNA is filed under the name Candidatus Poseidoniales archaeon. RNAcentral describes it as "tRNA-Leu". It matches the Rfam family "tRNA". Rfam says of the family: Transfer RNA (tRNA) molecules are approximately 80 nucleotides in length. Their secondary structure includes four short double-helical elements and three loops (D, anti-codon, and T loops). Lineage: Archaea; Methanobacteriati; Thermoplasmatota; Candidatus Poseidoniia; Candidatus Poseidoniales. The record is from RNAcentral.
GCAGGGGUCGCCCAGCUUGGUCAACGGCGCUGGGAUGAGGUCCCAGUCUCUAUGAGUUCGCAGGUUCGAAUCCUGCCCUCUGCA